Molecule: transfer RNA, 66 nt
Filed under: uncultured Ruminococcus sp.
Lineage: Bacteria; Bacillati; Bacillota; Clostridia; Eubacteriales; Oscillospiraceae
Rfam family: tRNA
About the family: Transfer RNA (tRNA) molecules are approximately 80 nucleotides in length.
Source: RNAcentral
CAAUAGCUCAGUUGGAUAGAGCGCAAGCCUCCUAAGCCUGAGGUCGGGGGUUCGAGCCCCUCUUGG